Long non-coding RNA from Hemicordylus capensis (graceful crag lizard), 830 nucleotides. RefSeq lists it as uncharacterized. Lineage: Eukaryota; Metazoa; Chordata; Lepidosauria; Squamata; Cordylidae. The record is from RefSeq and is a predicted model, not a curated record. The transcript has 2 exons.
CGCCGCGCUGCUCUCGCGGCCGUGCCGGGCCAGCUCGGCCUCCCUCCCACUCCCCAGCGAGGCAGGAGUCCAGCCAGAGGAGCGCCAAGUUCUUACCGAGGGGCCUGUACAGGAAAAAGGGGUUAGCAAGAAAUUAGCGCGUCACUCGGCCCCCGCUCUCAGCGCCGAGCCCAGCGCCAGCGACCGAGCAGCGCCACAAAAUGGCCGCCCGGCUGCACCGCCUCCCUCCGCUCCCAGCCGCCUUCCCUGCCAGCUACGAGGAGUGAGGGGUGUGGCCUGCCAUGGGUGGGGGUGGGGGGCGGCCGCGGCGAAGGGUUUCCUUUCCGCGAAUUCUCGUCCUUUUUCGUUUUUGUGCUUGUGGCAGCUAGAUCAGCCAGCGAGAGAGAGAUUAACAUCCCAUAGGGCUGAAAGAUCUCGCAGCCCUAUGUGUUGUUGGGGCAUAUAUUUUCGUGUACAGACGAGCGUACUAUGCAUGUAGUGUUAUCUGCCGUGGGCGGAUCAAGCAAACCAGCAGGCAUGCGCGCACGAAGGCACAUAAAUCUCGCAAAGAAACAACAAUGAGCGUGGUCACUCACCUCAGAUUUCUGGUUAUGAGCCCAUAAAGAAGUACCAGCUUGAGAUCAACAUGCGGAAAAGGGCUUGCAGCUGAUGAUUCUCUGAAAGCUGAGAAAGAAGGCCUGGGAAAGUGACCCACUCCAGAGCCUCUCAUCACCUUUUUCUCCUGUUCCUGAAAAGGAAUCCCCUGCUCACCCUGCUGGCCUCUUUGGCCUUGCACUUUGCUUUGCCAUCAGCAUUUCCUGGCUCUGUUUCGAAAUAAAUUGUCAAAUGUG